This 264-nucleotide ribosomal RNA is filed under the name uncultured Rickettsia sp. RNAcentral's name for it is "partial 16S ribosomal RNA". It matches the Rfam family "Bacterial small subunit ribosomal RNA", at positions 379 to 660 of the family's 1533-position model. Lineage: Bacteria; Pseudomonadati; Pseudomonadota; Alphaproteobacteria; Rickettsiales; Rickettsiaceae. The record is from RNAcentral.
AAGCCUGAUCCAGCAAUACCGAGUGAGUGAUGAAGGCCUUAGGGUUGUAAAGCUCUUUUAGCAAGGAAGAUAAUGACGUUACUUGCAGAAAAAGCCCCGGCUAACUCCGUGCCAGCAGCCGCGGUAAGACGGAGGGGGCUAGCGUUGUUCGGAAUUACUGGGCGUAAAGAGUGCGUAGGCGGUUUAGUAAGUUGGAAGUGAAAGCCCGGGGCUUAACCUCGGAAUUGCUUUCAAAACUACUAAUCUAGAGUGUAGUAAGGGAUG